GAGCAUAUAGCUCAAUGGUAGAGUACUUGUCUAGCAUGCAUGAAACUGGCCUUUAUCCUCA
RNAcentral lists this transfer RNA (61 nucleotides) under Ictidomys tridecemlineatus (thirteen-lined ground squirrel). RNAcentral describes it as "Spermophilus tridecemlineatus (thirteen-lined ground squirrel) tRNA". It matches the Rfam family "tRNA". From Rfam's summary of the family: Transfer RNA (tRNA) molecules are approximately 80 nucleotides in length. Their secondary structure includes four short double-helical elements and three loops (D, anti-codon, and T loops). The record is from Rfam by way of RNAcentral. Lineage: Eukaryota; Metazoa; Chordata; Mammalia; Rodentia; Sciuridae.